Molecule: ribosomal RNA, 484 nt
Filed under: uncultured bacterium
Lineage: Bacteria
Description: partial 16S ribosomal RNA
Rfam family: Bacterial small subunit ribosomal RNA
Source: RNAcentral
AUUGAACGCUGGCGGCAGGCCUAACACAUGCAAGUCGAGCGGAUGAAGGGAGCUUUCUCCUGGAUUCAGCGGCGGACGGGUGAGUAAUGCCUAGGAAUCUGCCUGGUUGUGGGGGAUAACGUCCGGAAACGGGCGCUAAUACCGCAUACGUCCUGAGGGUGAAAGUGGGGGAUCUUCGGACCUCACGCUAUCUGAUGAGCCUAGGUCGGAUUAGCUAGUUGGUGGGGUAAAGGCCUACCAAGGCGACGAUCCGUAACUGGUCUGAGAGGAUGAUCAGUCACACUGGAACUGAGACACGGUCCAGACUCCUACGGGAGGCAGCAGUGGGGAAUAUUGGACAAUGGGCGAAAGCCUGAUCCAGCCAUGCCGCGUGUGUGAAGAAGGUCUUCGGAUUGUAAAGCACUUUAAGUUGGGAGGAAGGGCAGUAAGUUAAUACCUUGCUGUUUUGACGUUACCAACAGAAUAAGCACCGGCUAACUUCGUG